This 1492-nucleotide unclassified non-coding RNA is filed under the name Daphnia magna. Its description in RNAcentral is "uncharacterized LOC116922294, transcript variant X8". The record is from RNAcentral. Lineage: Eukaryota; Metazoa; Arthropoda; Branchiopoda; Diplostraca; Daphniidae.
CAAAUGCUUCAUGUUCUAGUGUUAGAUAUUGAAUUUACAUGGGCCACUGGUGGCAUGAUUCGAUACGAUGACAGGUACAAUUCACUCAGGCAUCUUGCCAACUGCUGUCAAGCCAACUUGCCCCGAAAUGGAGUUGUCUUAAAAAUGUAUCUUUUUAAAUAUACUGAAGAGCACACUUUCAAGAUGUUAGUUGGGAUCGCUAGGAAAGAAACCGUCCUGCUUUGGAUAAUUCUCGCUCUAUACAAGGAUAUUAUUCCAUCCCAAAGCCUUAAAACGCAACAUGAAUUGUCGCCACAAGAGCAUUUUGAGUUGACAUCGAAUAAUUCUGAAAGAAAUCAAUUUCUUAAUCGACAUUACUUCAACAAAAAUAUAUGGGAUUAUCUAAAUGAGUUCAGUCAACCUUACACCUCACAUACAGCCAGCAGCGUCAGCUUCAAUUCCAGCCGAGACAUCGUAAAAAUGAGUCAUAAUAUAUUGCGCAAAACCAAUAAAAGGUAUUUGCACACAUACAAAAUGGAGGACGUCGUGUGUUGUCUGGAUUCUUUUCACGUUACAAAAAAUCGUCGUUUUCACAUCAGUUUUAUCGGUGACUCUCUCACUCGCAACCAGUUUACGAAUUUCAUCUCGCUCAUCCCAGAUUAUGAUAGAAAAUUAACUCAUACUACGACAAGUGGAAUGAUGCAAUCUAAAUUUCACGAAGAUAAGAGUAUAAGCAGUAAAAUUUUAGACGAUCUUCUGGUUUCUUUUCGAUGGCGGGCAAUCAUCAAUGCUGAAUUAAUUGCCGAUUUUAAGCUAUGGGCUACAUUGGAAGAUUAUCAAGUUCCCGACGUUGUAUUUAUAGGUUGCACCGCUCACAAUAUGCUGAAAAAACUAUAUAACUUGGAUGAACAAUCGUUUAAUGAAACGAUAGCACACGAUUUAUUGCCGGCACUGUCCGUUUACCUUAUGGCUCAUCCUAAAAAACAACUGUUUUGGAUUAUUCAAAAUCCCACUGAAGAUCUGUUAGGUCCCAUAGUUUUUCCUUCAUUUAAUAACAUCAUUCACGUGAAAAAGAUUCAGGAUUAUAACAACAUCGUACGUCAAAUUUUUAGUGGAACCCGGGUAGCCCUCUGGGAUUCCAUAAAUCCCGUCAUAGAGGAAAGCAUACGUGCUUGUGCUCUUCAAAACUUUCAACGAGUGGACAAUAGAGGAUACCAGCUAUGUGGCGAUUUUCUUCACUCCGGACACCAAAUAUUGUCGAUUGGAAGUCAGCUUAUUUUAAAUCACCUGUGUGAUUAAACAACCCUGUUUCCAAUUGAACCUCAUCUAGAGAAAUAAACUGAAGCUGGUCAAAAUCCACGAGAGACGGAGACUUAACAGAGGGGCGAGUGCGGCAAAUUGAAAAAAAAACUACGUAUUUGUUGUCCCUGCAACUAAAAUACUGAUUUAAUUCAGCCAAAAGUGUAAAGAAAUGUAGAAAAUUAUCUUACCUAUACAACAAUAUUGUCACGUA